UCCGGUUGAUCCUGCCGGACCCGACCGCUAUCGGGGUAGGGCUAAGCCAUGGGAGUCGAACGCCCCGCCGCUGCGGGGCGUGGCGGACGGCUGAGUAACACGUGGCUAACCUACCCUCGGGACGGGGAUAACCCCUCGGGAAACUGGGGCUAAUCCCCGAUAGGCGGGGGGUGCCUGGAAGGGUCCUCCGCCGAAAGGGGCCGCGGGGGGUUAUCGCCCGCGGUCCGCCCGAGGAUGGGGCUGCGGCCCAUCACGGUAGUUGGCGGGGUAAUGGCCCGCCAAGCCUACGACGGGUAGGGGCCGUGAGAGCGGGAGCCCCCAGAUGGGCACUGAGACAAGGGCCCAGGCCCUACGGGGCGCACCAAGCGCGAAAACUCCGCAAUGCGGGCAACCGUGACGGGGCUACCCCGAGUGCCCCCCUUGGGGGGGCUUUUCCCCGCUGUAAGUAGGCGGGGGAAUAAGCGGGGGGCAAGACUGGUGUCAGCCGCCGCGGUAAUACCAGCCCCGCGAGCGGUCGGGGUGUUUACUGGGCCUAAAGCGCCCGUAGCCGGCUCGACAAGUCCCCGCCUAAAGCCCCGGGCUCAACCCGGGGAGUGGCGGGGAUACUGUCGGGCUAGGGGGCGGGAGAGGCCGAGGGUACUCCCGGGGUAGGGGCGAAAUCCAUUAAUCCCGGGAGGACCACCAGUGGCGAAGGCGCUCGGCUGGAACGCGCCCGACGGUGAGGGGCGAAAGCCGGGGGAGCGAACCGGAUUAGAUACCCGGGUAGUCCCGGCUGUAAACGAUGCGGGCUAGGUGUUGGGCGGGCGUGCGAGCCCGCCCAGUGCCGCAGGGAAGCCGUUAAGCCCGCCGCCUGGGGAGUACGGCCGCAAGGCUGAAACUUAAAGGAAUUGGCGGGGGAGCACCACAAGGGGUGGAGCCUGCGGCUUAAUUGGAGUCAACGCCGGGAACCUCCACCGGGGGCGACAGCAGGAUGACGGCCAGGCUGAAGGCCUUGCCCGACGCGCUGAGGGGAGGUGCAUGGCCGUCGCCAGCUCGUGCCGUGAGGUGUCCUGUUAAGUCAGGCAACGAGCGAGACCCCCGCCCCUAGUUGCCAUCCCCGGGGCGACCCGGGGGGCACACUAGGGGGACUGCCGCCGCUAAGGCGGAGGAAGGAGGGGGCAACGGCAGGUCAGCAUGCCCCUAAACCCCCGGGCUGCACGCGGGCUACAAUGGCGGGGACAGCGGGUGCCGACCCCGAAAGGGGGAGGCAAUCCCUCAAACCCCGCCUCAGUUGGGAUCGAGGGCUGCAACUCGCCCUCGUGAACGUGGAAUCCCUAGUAACCGCGCGUCAUCAUCGCGCGGUGAAUACGUCCCUGCUCCUUGCACACACUGCCCGUCGCUCCACCCGA
This 1388-nucleotide ribosomal RNA is filed under the name Aeropyrum pernix. RNAcentral describes it as "bacterial SSU rRNA". It matches the Rfam family "Archaeal small subunit ribosomal RNA". Lineage: Archaea; Thermoproteati; Thermoproteota; Thermoprotei; Acidilobales; Acidilobaceae. The record is from RNAcentral.